UACAGAGGUCCCAAGCGUUGUUCGGAUUCACUGGGCGUAAAGGGUGCGUAGGCGGGUUGGUAAGUCCGUGGUGAAAUCCCCAAGCUUAACUUGGGAACUGCCGUGGAUACUAUCAAUCUUGAAUAUCGUGGAGGUAAGCGGAAUAUGUCAUGUAGCGGUGAAAUGCUUAGAUAUGACAUAGAACACCAAUUGCGUAGGCAGCUUACUACACGAUCAUUGACGCUGAGGCACGAAAGCGUGGGGAGCAAACAGG
Molecule: ribosomal RNA, 253 nt
Filed under: uncultured bacterium
Lineage: Bacteria
Description: partial 16S ribosomal RNA
Rfam family: Bacterial small subunit ribosomal RNA
Source: RNAcentral